CAGUAGCCGCGGUAACACGAAGGGGGCUAGCGUUGUUCGGAUUUACUGGGCGUAAAGCGCACGUAGGCGGAUUCUUAAGUCAGGGGUGAAAUCCCGAGGCUCAACCUCGGAACUGCCUUUGAUACUGGGGAUCUUGAGUCCGGAAGAGGUGAGUGGAACUGCGAGUGUAGAGGUGAAAUUCGUAGAUAUUCGCAAGAACACCAGUGGCGAAGGCGGCUCACUGGACCAUUUCUGACGCUGAUGCACGAAAGCUAGUGGAGCAAACAGGAUUAGAUACCCCAGUAGUCCCUGUCUCUUAUAA
This 301-nucleotide ribosomal RNA is filed under the name uncultured bacterium. RNAcentral describes it as "partial 16S ribosomal RNA". It matches the Rfam family "Bacterial small subunit ribosomal RNA", at positions 509 to 809 of the family's 1533-position model. The record is from RNAcentral.